UAACAGAAACGCUAAUUCAGCUGUGAUGCUGCCGAUAUUGAAACGCUAGCGAUCUGAAGGUCUCCCCUGUAGCUAGAUACCUGAAAAUAACAAAUUAAGUAUUGGUAAAAAAAAUCGAUGUACAUUUCAUAUGCUUCGUGAGUAGAUGUAGAUGUUUGCGCUUGAUUAAAAAUUUACUGGUAUUGAUACCCUGUAUAUUAUUUUAUCCCCUAUAACGUUUGUCAGCUAUAGCUGUAACACGCUUUUAUUUUUUAAAAGCUCUCUUCACACAGAAACGGCCAUUUAUAUUUAUAGCAACUUAAAUUUUGCCAAUAAAAAUCGUGGUGCACUUCAUUUUAUCAAUAGUUUAAAUGAAUUUUUAGAAAAAGUGUGCCAAAUAAGGUGGAAAAAUAUCCGCGAUUAUUACCAAAAGAAGAAACGCGAGGUAAUAAAAGCACAGAAAACUGGUUCAGCCAGGAACACAAAUGUGGAAAACUUUGGUGCCAAGUACAAACAUUUAAGCUUCCUGGACAAUACCUCAAUCGUAGAGAGAAAAUCAAUUAGUAAUAUCAAUGAAGAAAGUAACUCACAAAAUCAGCAAUCAGAUAAUAUUUCCACUAAAUCACAAGACGUUGGAUGAAUCACAAGCAGCUGUAAGUGAUAUAGAGGAUUCUCAAGAGAUGGUUAACUCCCAAGUCUCUCCGGUUACUGAGGUCUUUCCCAAUACGCAAGAAUCUCACGAGAACCAACCUACAGCAGUGGAAGAAUCUUUCAUAUCCCCAACUACUACAUCCCAACGCAAAAGAAAGUCUAUACCAAAAGAACGAGGUGCUGCAGUAGUGGAAGAAAUUAAGAAAGGCCGAAUUGAAAGAACCAAGUUGAUGAAAGAGUUGCUAGACUUAAGUAAUAACAAAACAAAAGAGGAUGACACCGCACUUUCAACGUUCUUUCGUAGUAUUGCUUUAACAGUUGAACAACUUCCUCCAGACUUACAAACAACAGCAAAAAUUAAGGUAAUGCAAGUCAUUUCUGAACUAGAGUUUCAACACCAGCAAAGAAGCAUGAUAAACCAUGAUUUCCGAUCUGCUUCAACUAGUAGCCAAUCAGGAACCUCAAGUGCAGCUUCCUACUUCCAAGCCUUUUCUCCCCAAAACAGUCCAAUGGCAAUGUUUCCACCGAAUGAAUCUGGUGACCUAUAUCAACAUUUAUGAAUACUUUAAAUAAAUUCGUAUAUUAUUAAUAUAA
This is a long non-coding RNA of Anthonomus grandis grandis, 1224 nucleotides long. RefSeq lists it as uncharacterized. The transcript has 2 exons. The record is from RefSeq and is a predicted model, not a curated record. NCBI's taxonomy places the organism in Eukaryota, Metazoa, Arthropoda, Insecta, Coleoptera, Curculionidae.